CCAGCAGCCGCGGUAAUUCCAGCUCCAAUAGCGUAUAUUAAAGUUGUUGCAGUUAAAACGCUCGUAGUCUGAUGUAAUGGGGAUUGGAGUGGGGAGCAGCGAUGCUCUUUGCUUUGGUCCUCAUCAAGGGGGCAGCAAUGUCCCAUUUUACUUUGAGGAAAUUAGAGUGUUCUAGGCAGGCUUGCGCCGGAAUACAUUAGCAUGGAAUAAUAGAAUAGGACUUUAGUCUCCUUUGUUGGUUUGAGGGAUUGAAGUAAUGAUUAAUAGGGAUAGUUGGGGGCAUUAGUAUUUAAUUGUCAGAGGUGAAAUUCUCGGAUUUGUUAAAGACUAACUUAUGCGAAAGCAUUUGC
RNAcentral lists this ribosomal RNA (350 nucleotides) under uncultured eukaryote. RNAcentral describes it as "SSU rRNA". It matches the Rfam family "Eukaryotic small subunit ribosomal RNA", at positions 567 to 958 of the family's 1831-position model. The record is from RNAcentral.